UGUAGCGGUGGAAUGCGCAGAUAUCAGGAGGAACACCGAUGGCGAAGGCAGGUCUCUGGGCCGCAACUGACGCUGAGGAGCGAAAGCAUGGGGAGCGAACAGGAUUAGAUACCCUGGUAGUCCAUGCCGUAAACGUUGGGCACUAGGUGUGGGGCUCAUUCCACGAGUUCCGUGCCGCAGCAAACGCAUUAAGUGCCCCGCCUGGGGAGUACGGCCGCAAGGCUAAAACUCAAAGGAAUUGACGGGGGCCCGCACAAGCGGCGGAGCAUGCGGAUUAAUUCGAUGCAACGCGAAGAACCUUACCAAGGCUUGACAUGCACGGGAAGCCACCAGAGAUGGUGGUCUCUUUGGACACUCGUGCACAGGUGGUGCAUGGUUGUCGUCAGCUCGUGUCGUGAGAUGUUGGGUUAAGUCCCGCAACGAGCGCAACCCUCGUCCCAUGUUGCCAGCGGGUUAUGCCGGGGACUCAUGGGAGACUGCCGGGGUCAACUCGGAGGAAGGUGGGGAUGACGUCAAAUCAUCAUGCCCCUUAUGUCUUGGGCUUCACGCAUGCUACAAUGGCCGGUACAAAGGGCUGCGAUACCGUAAGGUGGAGCGAAUCCCAAAAAGCCGGUCUCAGUUCGGAUUGGGGUCUGCAACUCGACCCCAUGAAGUCGGAGUCGCUAGUAAUCGCAGAUCAGCAACGCUGCGGUGAAUACGUUCCCGGGCCUUGUACACAC
RNAcentral lists this ribosomal RNA (719 nucleotides) under uncultured bacterium. RNAcentral describes it as "bacterial SSU rRNA". It matches the Rfam family "Bacterial small subunit ribosomal RNA", at positions 674 to 1390 of the family's 1533-position model. The record is from RNAcentral.